UGGGGAAUAUUGCACAAUGGGGGAAACCCUGAUGCAGCAACGCCGCGUGAAGGAAGAAGGCCUUCGGGUUGUAAACUUCUUUAGCCAGGGACGAAGAAUGACGGUACCUGGAGAAUAAGCCACGGCUAACUACGUGCCAGCAGCCGCGGUAAUACGUAGGUGGCAAGCGUUGUCCGGAUUUACUGGGUGUAAAGGGCGUGUAGGCGGGUGCGCAAGUCAGAUGUGAAAUUCCGGGGCUCAACCCCGGCGCUGCAUCUGAAACUGCGGAUCUUGAGUGCUGGAGAGGAAAGCGGAAUUCCUAGUGUAGCGGUGAAGUGCGUAGAUAUUAGGAGGAACACCAGUGGCGAAGGCGGCUUUCUGGACAGUAACUGACGCUGAGGCGCGAAAGCGUGGGGAGCAAACA
RNAcentral lists this ribosomal RNA (403 nucleotides) under uncultured bacterium. RNAcentral describes it as "bacterial SSU rRNA". It matches the Rfam family "Bacterial small subunit ribosomal RNA", at positions 355 to 774 of the family's 1533-position model. The record is from RNAcentral.